RNAcentral lists this ribosomal RNA (496 nucleotides) under uncultured bacterium. Its description in RNAcentral is "partial 16S ribosomal RNA". It matches the Rfam family "Bacterial small subunit ribosomal RNA", at positions 28 to 523 of the family's 1533-position model. The record is from RNAcentral.
GACGAACGCUGGCGGCGUGCCUAACACAUGCAAGUCGAGCGAUGAAAUUAGAAACGGAGUCUUCGGACGAAGUGGAAAAUGGAUUAGCGGCGGACGGGUGAGUAACACGUGAGCAACCUGCCUAUCACAUCGGGAUAGCCUCGGGAAACUGGGAUUAAUACCGAAUGAAACAUAAUCACUGCCUAGUGGAAAUGUCAAAGAUUUAUCGGUGAUAGAUGGGCUCGCGUCUGAUUAGCUAGUUGGUGAGGUAAUGGCUCACCAAGGCGACGAUCAGUAGCCGGCCUGAGAGGGUGAACGGCCACAUUGGGACUGAGACACGGCCCAAACUCCUACGGGAGGCAGCAGUGGGGAAUAUCGCACAAUGGAGGGAACUCUGAUGCAGCGACGCCGCGUGAGUGAUGAAGGCUUUCGAGUCGUAAAGCUCUGUCGAAUGGGAAGAUAAUGACGGUACCAUUUGAGAAAGCCCCGGCUAACUACGUGCCAGCCGCCGCCGUAA